RNAcentral lists this ribosomal RNA (465 nucleotides) under uncultured bacterium. Its description in RNAcentral is "partial 16S ribosomal RNA". It matches the Rfam family "Bacterial small subunit ribosomal RNA", at positions 28 to 507 of the family's 1533-position model. The record is from RNAcentral.
GAUGAACGCUGGCGGCGUGCUUAACACAUGCAAGUCGAACGGAAAGGCUCCUGCUUGCUGGGGUACUCGAGUGGCGAACGGGUGAGUAACACGUGGGUGAUCUGCCCUGCACUUCGGGAUAAGCCUGGGAAACUGGGUCUAAUACCGGAUAGGACCACAUUUUGGAUGGUGUGGUGGAAAGUUUUUCGGUGUGGGAUGAGCUCGCGGCCUAUCAGCUUGUUGGUGGGGUAAUGGCCUACCAAGGCGUCGACGGGUAGCCGGCCUGAGAGGGUGUACGGCCACAUUGGGACUGAGAUACGGCCCAGACUCCUACGGGAGGCAGCAGUGGGGAAUAUUGCACAAUGGGCGCAAGCCUGAUGCAGCGACGCCGCGUGGGGGAUGACGGCCUUCGGGUUGUAAACUCCUUUCGCUAGGGACGAAGCGCAAGUGACGGUACCUGGAGAAGAAGCACCAGCUAACUACGUG